GCUUAGAUAAGACCUUCACAAAGAUUCUAAUUUAAUUAUAUUAAAUUUCUCUUUGCCUACAGGAAAACUCUUAGCAUUCUAAAUGAACCUCUAUUGGAGGCUUUGAGGAGGCCAUGUCUAGUCAUGUAAGAUGAGAGGGAAACCUGGCUCUUUGAGAGAAAGAUGGAUGACAUCCUAGAGGAACUGCCAUCCUGAAAGGUUAAACACUGCACAAGAAGCCUGGAGAGAGGAGCUAUCUCUUACAUGUCUAGAGGUUGGAAGACCUGAACCUGGAGACUCAAGUAGUGCCACUGCCAGGAAAGGCAAGCAGUCCUUCUUGUACUUCCUUGCCACUUGCUACAGAACUUUCCACUGGGAGCCAUCAAAAGUCAGUACCCACUGGAAGCCAAUGAGUAACCCUUUUUUAAAAAUUCCAUCCUGCUACCUUGAGCCAAAGGACCCAAGCCUCCCACCGGGAAGCAUAGGACCCAAACUCCCACUGGGGGGCAAGAGACCCAAGCUUCCACCGGGAGCAAAGGGACCCAAGCUUCAACUGGGAGCUAAGUGACCCAUGCCUCCCACCGGGAGCCAAGGGACCCAUAUGCCUUCCAUUUCGGGGGCAAAGGGAACCACGUCUCCCACCAGGGUGCAGGGGUUCCAAGUAUCCCACUGAGAGCUAAAGGACCCAUGCCUCCCACUGGUUGCCAAGGGACCCAAGCCUCCCACCAGGAGAUGGGACCCAAGCCUCCCACCCGGAGCUCUGGGACCCAAACCUCAGGCCUCCCACCAAGAGCCAGGACCCAAGCCCUCCACUGGAAACCCAAGGUACAUGUGCCUUAAGCCUCCCACCUAGUGCCAGUAUUGAAGUCUCAGGCUUCUGAUUAUGAGCCAAAAGGACCCGAAGACUAAGCCCUCAACCUUCCUUGGAGGCAGGAACCAAGCCUCAAACCUUCCACUGGGAGCUAAGGAACCCAAUCCUCAGGAUUUUUACCUGGAGCUAAGAGACCCUUUGGCCAGGAGCGAAAGUCUAUAACUUCCUACUGGGAGUGAGGACCUAAGCCUCAAUCUUCCUACUGGAAUCUACCACCAGAUGCUAAUGGACUUAAUCCUGCCACCAGUAGUCAAGGAACCCACAUCUCAGUUCUUUCAUCAGCAGCUAAGGACCCAAGCCUAAAUCCUUCUACCAGGAUUAACCAGGACCCAAAAAUCUAAGCCUUCCCCUGGGAUCCAGGCCUGUAGCCUCAAGCUUCCCAUCUGGAGCAUGGAGCUAGGACCCAAUGAUCCAAUCCUCACAAAGAGAUCUGGGAGCCAGGACCCAAGCCUCAAGUCUCCCAUCAGAAGCCAGGAGAACCAAUCCUCCAUCCAAGGACUGAAGCCUCCUCCUGGGAUUCAGAACCCAACCCAACUCUCAUAAUGAGUUAAGGAACCCAAAGCCUCAAUCCUUUCACUUCAGGGAUGAAACCCAAGCCUUCCACAGGGAUCCAGGGGACCCAAACUCCCAUUAAGUCCUAGGUUUCAACUCUUAUACUACUUAAGCCAGGACCUAACCCAACUAUUGGCAAUCAACA
Monodelphis domestica (gray short-tailed opossum) is the source of this 1547-nucleotide long non-coding RNA. The record is from Ensembl. NCBI's taxonomy places the organism in Eukaryota, Metazoa, Chordata, Mammalia, Didelphimorphia, Didelphidae.